RNAcentral lists this long non-coding RNA (530 nucleotides) under Ananas comosus (pineapple). RNAcentral's name for it is "long non-coding RNA (ACOM_LNC017780)". The record is from RNAcentral. Lineage: Eukaryota; Viridiplantae; Streptophyta; Magnoliopsida; Poales; Bromeliaceae.
CAUAAUAGAAAGCUAUUACUCCUUUUUCGAUAGAAUGAGAAAAAGGACUCGUUGCAAAGUUAUACUGUUGUGGCGCAACUGAGUAGUCUAAUGUUGUUCCGGUUUUGGUUGUUGUGAACGUUGACAUCGAUUCGUUCCAAAUUUACACUCUCGGGGCAUAAUAGAACAAUUUAAUUAGGUUUUACUCUUUGUUAGAUUGAACGAGAAAAAAUACUAGAUUCAAAAUUAUACUGUUAGGGCACAACUGAGUAGUCUAAUGUUGUUCUGGUUUUGGUUCUUGUGAACGUUGACGUCGAUUCGUUCCAAAUUUACACUCUCGGGGCAUAAUAGAAAGCUUUUACUUCUUGUUCAAUAGAAUGAGAAAAAGUACUCGUUGCAAAGUUAUACUAUUUUGGCGCAACUGAGUAGUAUAAUGUCGUUCCGGUUUUGGUUUUUGUGAAUGUUGACAUUGAUCGUUCCAAAUUUACACUCUCGGCGCAUAAUAGAACAAUAUAAUUAGGUUUGGGGCUUUGUUCGAUUGAAUGAGAAAA